GUGGGGAAUAUUGCACAAUGGGCGAAAGCCUGAUGCAGCAACGCCGCGUGAGGGACGACGGCCUUCGGGUUGUAAACCUCUUUUAGCAGGAAAGAAGCGAAAGUGACGGUACCUGCAGAAAAAGCGCCGGCUAACUACGUGCCAGCAGCCGCGGUAAUACGUAGGGCGCAAGCGUUAUCCGGAAUUAUUGGGCGUAAAGAGCUCGUAGGCGGUCUGUCGCGUCUGCUGUGAAAACCCGAGGCUCAACCUCGGGCCUGCAGUGGGUACGGGCAGACUAGAGUGCGGUAGGGGAGAUUGGAAUUCCUGGUGUAGCGGUGGAAUGCGCAGAUAUCAGGAGGAACACCGAUGGCGAAGGCAGAUCUCUGGGCCGUAACUGACGCUGAGGAGCGAAAGGGUGGGGAGCAAACAGGCUUAGAUACCCUAGUAGUCC
Molecule: ribosomal RNA, 430 nt
Filed under: uncultured bacterium
Lineage: Bacteria
Description: bacterial SSU rRNA
Rfam family: Bacterial small subunit ribosomal RNA
Source: RNAcentral